ACAAGCUCUCGGGGUGCUUCUGAGGCAUGCUAAAUUGAGAGCCAGAGCCCAAGGCAGCGCAUCUCCAAGUUCGAAGUGCAGAGAGGAAUCCCCAAGGACCUUGUUAGACUACAGGUUCGGAUGCGGUCGCGCGGGGCCUGGGGCUGGCGAGAUUUCCUUUCCAACCAGCUUUCCAGACGUGCCCGGGUUGCUUCUUCAGGGAUGACUCAGCAGAGCAUGGAGCCGGUCUGAAAGCUGUGCGCCCCGGCAGGCUGUGGAUAACGAAGCUUAGCCCUUCCCUCAUGGAAUGUAUCCCAGGCACAGCCGGGCAGGCACUGUUUAACUCAUUCUAGAGAGAGGCCUGGAGGAAGGCCUCUGCAGACCUUAAAACCUCGUGUACCAAGGCAGCCCUGUUCCCCAGCACCUCCCUCACCGAGAGCCUCCCUCCUUCCAGCCCUCCUACUUCCUGUCCACAAGGUCAGAAAGGACCUGGCUCAUUCUUGAGUUGUGAAAGCCAGAGUGUCUUAGGCAGUCGCUCAGAGAGAGCCAGAGGCCAUGCAUACUGCAGUGAACAGCUCCCUGGGUCCCCUCUGACCAGUGGACAUUUCAACACCCAGACAUGGUGCAGAUCCUGGGGAAGCCAUGCCCUCUCCUGCUCAAAGAACCAGCACCAACGUGUCUGUCCAGAUCGUUGCCUCUGCCAGAAAUCAGUCCAGGGUUUCCUGUGACCCAGUGUGGCCAACCUGGAAGGAGAAGCUUUCCUGCUGGAUGAGAGAGAUGGGCCCAGUCUGUGAGGAUGAGAUGCUUGGUGAUGCCACAGCCCUCCUGCCUCAAUGAAGUGCCUGAAGAACCUCCGAGAUGCCAACGCCCCGUUGAAUUUCCUUUCUGUGGCUGUGAUAAGAUACUUGGACAAAAGCAACUUAAGGAAGAAGCGUUCUGGCUCCACCACCACUCCAGACUGGAGCCCAUCAUGGCAGGGGAGAGAUGGUCACCUUCCUCUGCAGCCAAGAAGCAGAGAGGACUCAGCUCACUGUCUCAUCCUCAGACAGCCCAGGAGCCCCUGCCCAGGGAAUGGCCCCAGCCAUAAGUAAGAGGAGUCUUCCCUGCCAGGCACGGUGGCACUUACCUUCAAUCCCAGCACUUGGGGGGCAGAGGCAGGUGGAUCUCUGUGAGUUCGAGGCCAGCCUGGUCUACAGAGCGAGUUCCAGGACAGGCAGGACUACCGAGGAACCUGUUGUGGUAGUCGGAACGUAAUUAGUUCCCACAAGCUCACAGGGAGUGGCACACUGUCAGGAGGUGUGACUCUGUUGCAGCAGGUGUGGCUGUGUGGGAGGAAGUGUGCCACUGUGGAGGGGGCUUUGAAAUCUCAUAUGUGCUCAAGCCAUGCUGAGUGUCCUAGUGGACUUCCUAUUGUCUGU
Peromyscus maniculatus bairdii (prairie deer mouse) is the source of this 1397-nucleotide non-coding RNA. The record is from RefSeq and is a predicted model, not a curated record. NCBI's taxonomy places the organism in Eukaryota, Metazoa, Chordata, Mammalia, Rodentia, Cricetidae.